RNAcentral lists this ribosomal RNA (426 nucleotides) under uncultured bacterium. RNAcentral describes it as "partial 16S ribosomal RNA". It matches the Rfam family "Bacterial small subunit ribosomal RNA", at positions 354 to 796 of the family's 1533-position model. The record is from RNAcentral.
GUGAGGAAUUUUCCGCAAUGGGCGAAAGCCUGACGGAGCAAUGCCGCGUGAAGGAUGAAGGCCUAUGGGUUGUAAACUUCUUUUCUCAGAAAAGAAUUAUGACGGUAUCUGAGGAAUAAGCAUCGGCUAACUCUGUGCCAGCAGCCGCGGUAAGACAGAGGAUGCAAGCGUUAUCCGGAAUGAUUGGGCGUAAAGCGUCUGUAGGUUGUUUAAAAAGUAUUCUGUCAAAGAUUAGGGCUUAAACCUAGAUAGGCAGAAUAAACUUUUAAGCUAGAGUUUGGUAGAGGCAGAGAGAAUUCCCGGUGGAGCGGUGAAAUGCGUAGAUAUCGGGAGGAACACCAAAGGCGAAGGCACUCUGCUGGGCCAAUACUAACACUGAGAGACGAAAGCGAGGGGAGCAAAUGGGAUUAGAUACCCGUGUAGUCC